This 494-nucleotide ribosomal RNA is filed under the name uncultured bacterium. Its description in RNAcentral is "partial 16S ribosomal RNA". It matches the Rfam family "Bacterial small subunit ribosomal RNA", at positions 28 to 507 of the family's 1533-position model. The record is from RNAcentral.
GACGAACGCUGGCGGCGUGCUUAACACAUGCAAGUCGAACGGAGAAGCGCCUCCCUCCUUGGUGGGUGUGGAUGAGCGGCGAACGGGUGCGUAACACGUGAGUAACCUGCCUCCUUCUUCUGGUUAACCGCAUGAACGUGUGGCUAAUACGGGCUUUCCUGGGUCUGUCGCAUGAUGGGUUUGGUAUAGAUAUUGUUUCUGUUGGGGACGGGUCCGCGGCGUAUCAGCUUGUUGGCGUGGCGAUGGCCUAGCAGGUCGGGGACGGGUAGCCGGCCUGAGAGAGUCGGCGGGCGCAGGGGGACUGAGACACGGGCAAGACUCCUACGGGAAGCAGCAGAGGGGAGUAAGGCACGAUGGGCGCAAGACUGAUGCAGCGACGCCGCGGGAGGGAUGGAGGCCGGCGGGUUGUGGACCUCUUUCUGCAGUGAAGCAGGCCUGCCUCGUUUGUGGGUGGGUUGACGGUAGCGGGAGAAGAAGCGCCGGCUAACUACGUG